GCCUGGGUGGCUCAGUCGGUUGAGCAUCUGACGGGUCAUCCCAGGUCAUAAUCUCGUGGUUCGUGGGUUCGAGCCCCGCAUCAGGCU
Molecule: transfer RNA, 87 nt
Filed under: Felis catus (domestic cat)
Lineage: Eukaryota; Metazoa; Chordata; Mammalia; Carnivora; Felidae
Also listed under: 1 other name
Rfam family: tRNA
About the family: Transfer RNA (tRNA) molecules are approximately 80 nucleotides in length. Their secondary structure includes four short double-helical elements and three loops (D, anti-codon, and T loops). Further hydrogen bonds mediate the characteristic L-shaped molecular structure. tRNAs have two regions of fundamental functional importance: the anti-codon, which is responsible for specific mRNA codon recognition, and the 3' end, to which the tRNAs corresponding amino acid is attached (by aminoacyl-tRNA synthetases). tRNAs cope with the degeneracy of the genetic code in two manners: having more than one tRNA (with a specific anti-codon) for a particular amino acid; and 'wobble' base-pairing, i.e. permitting non-standard base-pairing at the 3rd anti-codon position.
Source: Rfam by way of RNAcentral